GAGACACGUCCUCACACACCCUAAACGUACACAAGGAACUCUGAGCCAGAAUGCAAGCUUUGCUCAGAGCCAGGAGGGAGAUGCUGGCAGCUGGAGUGGAGACCACAGCUAAGAAUCCCGCUUCCUGCGCCUGUCAGCACAGUGUGCAGCAGCGGGAAGGAGUGAGGAAGCCCGGCGUCCAUACCUUCAUGUGAAAACAGAAUCGCAGGUCUAACUGUGAGCACACACAAAGCAGCAGAAGAAUCUAUAACCAGCAUGAGCACGCUCCAUCUAUCAGCUGUUACUGAAGUAAUGACUUAUUGUAUUAUGGAUCUGCGGGCCAGAGAGGCAGGUGUGAAAGGGUCAUUGGCAUCUGGUCUUAACAGGCGUCCUGAAUUUUCCCCAUGAUCAUACGGAAAGCUUUUUCCUGUAUCUCAGAUGCCACAUGUUAGCUGUCUGCAUAGGAUUUCAUGGAAGAUGUCCGCAGAAAAUCCCUAAAGCUUAAAGUUUGUACCCCCCUUGGCAAGUGGAUCGAGGUAUGCAGAAAAGUGUGCAUUGUUAUAAAAGGUGUAUAUGAUCUAGAGAUAAACCCUGUUCAUGCUGUUUGGUUUUAAAUACGCUAUACUGUAUAAUCCAAGGCACUUUGCAUGUAACCAUGUUUCUUUGAAUGUUCAAUGUAAUUAGAUGUGUGUGCAGACAACUGUAAUUAACCCUGUAACCCCCUUUUUGGUGACAACCGUAAAUAAGUGUGUUGUAUGUCAUUUACAGUUUUCACGGUGCUAUGGUACUAUGGUGCUUACGAUAUUCAUGUUUACGGUGCUCAAGGAAAUAAAGAAAAUAAUAUUCAACCCUGCUGCGCACCUUUGUUCCGAAAGAAUAAAACUACUGCACCCGUCAGAAUCUCUCCUCUUGUUAUUUAU
Molecule: long non-coding RNA, 899 nt
Organism: Bufo gargarizans (Asiatic toad)
Lineage: Eukaryota; Metazoa; Chordata; Amphibia; Anura; Bufonidae
Exons: 4
Source: RefSeq, a predicted model, not a curated record